CCCUUGCCGUUUCCACCAACGUUUACAUAACUUACACAUGCAAGUCUCCGCAUCCCCGUGAGAACGCCCUUAAACCUUAUUAGGACAAGGAGCUGGUAUCAGGCACAGUAACCCUAGCCCACUACACCUAGCAUAGCCACACCCUCAAGGGUAUUCAGCAGUGAUAAACAUUGAACAUAAGUGCAAACUUGAUUCAGUUAUAGUAUUAAGAGCCGGCCAAUUCGGUGCCAGCCGCCGCGGCUACACCGUGAGGCUCAAGUUGUUAACCGCCGGCGUCAAGCGUGGUUUAAGAUUUCAAAACCUAGAGUUUAAUUUCACAUCAAGCAGUGAUAUGCUGAUUUCUUAGAAACCCAUGAACGAAAGUCACUCUAAUAACUAACUUGAACCCACGAUAGCUAAGAAACAAACUGGGAUUAGAUACCCCACUAUGCUUAGCCCUAAAAUAUUUAUUUACACCUCAUUAACGCCCGAGAAUUACGAGCACAAGCUUAAAACUCAAAGGACUUGACGGUGUCCCAUCUACCUAGAGGAGCCUGUUCUAUAAUCGAUAUUCCCCGAUUUACCUCACCACUUUUAGCCUAUCAGCCUGUAUACUUCCGUCGUAAGCUUACCAUAUGAAUGCUAGUGAGCAAAAUGAUUUAUACACCUAUACGUCAGGUCAAAGUGCAGCCAACAAAGUGGCAAGAAAUGGGCUACAGUUUCUAAACAGAACAAACGAAAAACCUUAUGAAAACUGGUCACGAAGGCGGAUUUAGCAGUAAGGGAAAAAUAGAGAGUUUCCCUUAAAAAUGCCCUGGGACGUGUACACACCGCCCGUCACCCUCUUCUCAUAUUCUUUAAUAAGUUAAUUAACACACAAACCUUAAUCAAGAAGAGGCAAGUCGUAACACGGUAAGCAUACUGGAAAGUGUGCUUGGAUAUCAAAAUGUAGCUUAAUUAAAGCACUUCGCUUACACCGAAUAUAUAUCUGUUAGACCCGGAUCAUUUUGAGCCUUAAAUUUAGUUUAACCAUACUUAUAUACACAACUACCCCUCUACAACAAAAUAAAACAUUUUUAUGGCUUAGUAAAAGAGAUUAAAAAACCUAUUAAAACUAUAAACAUAGUACCGCAAGGGAAAAAUGAAAUAGAAAUGAAAUAAACCAAAAGCAAAUAAAAGCAGAGAUAUUUACUCGUACCUUUUGCAUCAUGGUCUAACUAGUUAAACCACGCAAAAUGAAAUUAAAGCUUGACACCCCGAAACUAAGCGAGCUACUUCAAAACAGCCUUUGAGCCAACCCGUCUCUGUUGCAAAAGAGUGGGAAGAUUUUUAAGUAGAAGUGAUAAACCUAUCGAGCUUAGAGAUAGCUGGUUAUUUGGAAAAAGAAUAUAAGUUCUACCUUAAGCUUUUCUGUGCCCCAAACACCCAAUUAAGCUUAAGAGCUAUUCAAAUAAGGAACAGCCUAUUUGAUUCAGGAUACAACCUAAAAUUUAGGGUAAUAUAACUUAUAAAUGUAACAAAGUCGGCCUGAAAGCAGCCACCUUUUAGAAAGCGUCAAAGCUUAUUUACUAAAAAAAUUAAUAAUUUUAAAAUUUAAACUAAACCCUACUUCAUUACCAAAUAAUUUUAUAUAACUAUAAAAGAUAUAAUGUUAGAACUAGUAAUAAGAAUUUGAAAUUCUCCAAAAUAUUAGUGUAACACGGAACAAACUAUAACCGCUUAUUAUUGCAUGUGAACAUAAUGUAGUACCUUAUCAAGAAAACACUACUAAACUUAGCAUUAAACUUACACAAGCAUAUUACUGGAAAGAUUAAAAGAAAGGGAAGGAACUCGGCAAAUCUUAAGCCCCGCCUGUUUACCAAAAACAUCGCCUCUUGAUAAACCAUAAGAGGUCCCGCCUGCCCUGUGACUCAGUUUAACGGCCGCGGUACCUUAACCGUGCAAAGGUAGCACAAUCAAUCGUCCCUUAAAUAGGGACUAGUAUGAAUGGCUUCACGAGGGCUUAACUGUCUCCCCUCUUCAAUCAAUGAAACUGAUCUUCUCGUGAAGAAGCGAGAAUAAAAAUAUAAGACGAGAAGACCCUAUGGAGCUUUAAACCCAUUACCACCUGCCCAUGUAAUAUCAUAAUAAUUAGCAGCCUGUUCUUAAUGGUUUUUGGCUGGGGUGGCCCUGGAGUAAAACAAACCCUCCAGACUGAACGACUUAAAACCCUAAUCUGAGAACCACUAUUCAAAGAAUCAAAACUUUGACAUAAUUGACCCAAUAAAUUGAUCAACGAACCAAGUUACCCUAGGGAUAACAGCGCAAUCCAUUUCAAGAGCUCCUAUCGACAAAUGGGUUUACGACCUCGAUGUUGGAUCGGGGUAUCCUAGCGGCGCAGCCGCUGCUAAAGGUUCGUUGUCAACGAUAAUAACCC
Molecule: non-coding RNA, 2395 nt
Filed under: Kassina senegalensis (Senegal running frog)
Lineage: Eukaryota; Metazoa; Chordata; Amphibia; Anura; Hyperoliidae
Description: partial contains 12S ribosomal RNA, tRNA-Val, and 16S ribosomal RNA
Rfam family: Bacterial small subunit ribosomal RNA (bases 82-929)
Source: RNAcentral